CCUUCGAUAGCUCAGCUGGCAGAGCGGAGGACUGUAGAUGUUACAACGGUGAUCCUUAGGUCGCUGGUUCAAAUUCGGCUCGAGGGA
Molecule: transfer RNA, 87 nt
Filed under: Cordylochernes scorpioides
Lineage: Eukaryota; Metazoa; Arthropoda; Arachnida; Pseudoscorpiones; Chernetidae
Description: tRNA-Tyr
Rfam family: tRNA
About the family: Transfer RNA (tRNA) molecules are approximately 80 nucleotides in length. Their secondary structure includes four short double-helical elements and three loops (D, anti-codon, and T loops). Further hydrogen bonds mediate the characteristic L-shaped molecular structure. tRNAs have two regions of fundamental functional importance: the anti-codon, which is responsible for specific mRNA codon recognition, and the 3' end, to which the tRNAs corresponding amino acid is attached (by aminoacyl-tRNA synthetases). tRNAs cope with the degeneracy of the genetic code in two manners: having more than one tRNA (with a specific anti-codon) for a particular amino acid; and 'wobble' base-pairing, i.e. permitting non-standard base-pairing at the 3rd anti-codon position.
Source: RNAcentral